This 650-nucleotide ribosomal RNA is filed under the name uncultured bacterium. Its description in RNAcentral is "bacterial SSU rRNA". It matches the Rfam family "Bacterial small subunit ribosomal RNA", at positions 140 to 805 of the family's 1533-position model. The record is from RNAcentral.
GGGACAACAGUUGGAAACGACUGCUAAUACCGCAUAAGCGCACAGCUUCGCAUGAAGCAGUGUGAAAAACUCCGGUGGUACAGGAUGGACCCGCGUCUGAUUAGAUAGUUGGUGAGGUAACGGCCCACCAAGUCAACGAUCAGUAGCCGGCCUGAGAGGGCGAACGGCCACAUUGGGACUGAGACACGGCCCAAACUCCUACGGGAGGCAGCAGUGGGGAAUAUUGCACAAUGGGGGAAACCCUGAUGCAGCGACGCCGCGUGAGUGAAGAAGUAUUUCGGUAUGUAAAGCUCUAUCAGCAGGGAAGAAAACAAUGACGGUACCUGACUAAGAAGCCCCGGCUAACUACGUGCCAGCAGCCGCGGUAAUACGUAGGGGGCAAGCGUUAUCCGGAUUUACUGGGUGUAAAGGGAGCGUAGACGGUAGACCAAGUCUGAAGUGAAAGCCCGGGGCUCAACCCCGGAACUGCUUUGGAAACUGGUAAACUAGAGUGCAGGAGAGGUAAGUGGAAUUCCUAGUGUAGCGGUGAAAUGCGUAGAUAUUAGGAGGAACACCAGUGGCGAAGGCGGCUUACUGGACUGUAACUGACGUUGAGGCUCGAAAGCGUGGGGAGCAAACAGGAUUAGAUACCCUGGUAGUCCACGCCGUAA